Molecule: ribosomal RNA, 115 nt
Filed under: Pteropus alecto (black flying fox)
Lineage: Eukaryota; Metazoa; Chordata; Mammalia; Chiroptera; Pteropodidae
Source: RNAcentral
AUUCACAAAUAGAUUUCUUUAAAAAUCAAAGAUUCUGAUCUCGGAAGCUAAGCAGGGUCGGGCCUGGUUAGUAUUUGGAUGAGAGACCACGUGGGAAUACCAGGUGUUGUAGGCA